This 72-nucleotide transfer RNA is filed under the name Dipodomys ordii (Ord's kangaroo rat). It matches the Rfam family "tRNA". Rfam says of the family: Transfer RNA (tRNA) molecules are approximately 80 nucleotides in length. The record is from Rfam by way of RNAcentral. Lineage: Eukaryota; Metazoa; Chordata; Mammalia; Rodentia; Heteromyidae.
GUGAAGUUGGCUCAGUGGUAGAGUGCUUGCCUUGCAUGCAUAAGGCCCUGGGUUCGAUUCCUCAGCACCACA